This 462-nucleotide ribosomal RNA is filed under the name uncultured bacterium. Its description in RNAcentral is "bacterial SSU rRNA". It matches the Rfam family "Bacterial small subunit ribosomal RNA", at positions 1068 to 1533 of the family's 1533-position model. The record is from RNAcentral.
UNNGNGNUGGUUGUCCGCACGAGCGCACCCCUAUCCUUAGUUGCCAGCACGUCAUGGUGGGAACUCUAACGAUUACUGCCUGUGUUAAGCAGGAGGAAGGUGGGGAUGACGUCAAGUCCUCAUGGCCCUUACGUCCGGGGCUGCACACGUGCUACAAUGGCUGGUACAAAGGGCUGCGAUACCGCGAGGUGGAGCCAAUCCCACAAAACCAGUCUCAGUUCGGAUUGGAGUCUGCAACUCGACUCCAUGAAGGUGGAAUCGCUAGUAAUCGUGGAUCAGCAUGCCACGGUGAAUACGUUCCCGGGUCUUGUACACACCGCCCGUCAAGCGAUGAAAGCUUGGAACACCCGAAGUCGGUCGCCUAACCCGCAAGGGAAGGAGCCGCCGAAGGUGGGCCUGGUAAUUGGCGCUAAGUCGUAACAAGGUAGCCGUAUCGGAAGGUGCGGCUGGAUCACCUCCUUU